Molecule: ribosomal RNA, 464 nt
Filed under: uncultured bacterium
Lineage: Bacteria
Description: partial 16S ribosomal RNA
Rfam family: Bacterial small subunit ribosomal RNA
Source: RNAcentral
GACGAACGCUGGCGGCGUGCUUAACACAUGCAAGUCGAACGGAAAGGCCCCUUUGGGGGUACUCGAGUGGCGAACGGGUGAGUAACACGUGAGUAACCUGCCCUUGACUUCGGGAUAACUUCAGGAAACUGGGGCUAAUACCGGAUAGGAAUCCUUGCUGCAUGGUGGGGGUUGGAAAGCUUCGGCGGUUUUGGAUGGACUCGCGGCUUAUCAGCUUGUUGGUGGGGUAGCGGCUUACCAAGGCUUUGACGGGUAGCCGGCCUGAGAGGGCGACCGGCCACAUUGGGACUGAGAUACGGCCCAGACUCCUACGGGAGGCAGCAGUGGGGAAUAUUGCACAAUGGGCGGAAGCCUGAUGCAGCAACGCCGCGUGCGGGAUGGCGGCCUUCGGGUUGUAAACCGCUUUCAGCAGGGGCGAAGCUUUUGUGACGGUACCUGCAGAAGAAGCACCGGCUAACUACGUG